UCACUUAUCUUUAUGUAUCUUAAUUUGAAGAUGAUGAUUCAAUUGAUGAUAUAUUAGAAAUCUUUUUCUAAUUAUCAUCCUACUUUGGUCAAAGACUUCUAGAAUCACUGUCCUAUAAGAUCACAUAGGAUGUUCACUCUCCUUAUUAGGAGUGACCGAUCCCUUAUUGAUCACUCACAAUCUUUAUGCACUUUUUAUCAUAUCCAGAGAACCCCACACAAGGAUCAGAGAAUCAAAUUAGGUAAUGAACUAAAAUAUAGAUCCAAAUACACAAGGUACCAUGAUGACCUCAGGCCUA
This 298-nucleotide long non-coding RNA is filed under the name Elaeis guineensis (African oil palm). RNAcentral describes it as "long non-coding RNA (EGUI_LNC054399)". Lineage: Eukaryota; Viridiplantae; Streptophyta; Magnoliopsida; Arecales; Arecaceae. The record is from RNAcentral.